This 861-nucleotide ribosomal RNA is filed under the name Villorita cyprinoides. RNAcentral describes it as "12S ribosomal RNA". The record is from RNAcentral. Lineage: Eukaryota; Metazoa; Mollusca; Bivalvia; Venerida; Cyrenidae.
UAAAUAUUAGCCUGUGGUAUUAAGUUGAUUUUUUCUUUUAUUUUAUACAUGAAAUUUAAGGAGUGGAGGAAGGAUGAUCUUGUUUGACAGUUGAUUUUAAUAAGAUUCUGGAUUGAAGGUUAAAGUUUUGUUAUUUUAAAGAAAAUGAAAUAAUAGUAUUCCGUCUUCAGUAGAUAGUAUUGAAUAGCAUCGAUAGAUGGUUUAAGAAAUUGAGAGUAAAGAGAGAGUAACAAAGUGCCAGCACUUGCGGUCAUACUUUGUCUCUAAGUUAAUUAGUUUGUAAGGGAGAAAUUUUGUAUUGUAAGUUUGAAAUUUGGUCUUUAUGGUUAAAUAGUAUGAAGAGUUAAAUUGAUUUUUUGUAGUUUAAAAAAUAAAUCUCAUAAGGCUGUUUUAGAGACGGGGAUUUGAGACCCCCUUAUUUAAGCUGUAUUAGUUCUUACGGGUACUACGAGCAAACGUGCUUAAAACUCGAACAGGUUGGCGGUAUUUUAUAACCAUUAAGGGGAACUUGGCGGUUAAUCCGAUAAUCCUCGUUAUACUUUACCUUAAAUAUGCUUUGCAUACCGCCGUCAUUAGGUAUACCUAAAGGGGAAAGAUUGUAGCGAAGAGUCAUCAUUGUUGAAAGUGUGUGAAGAAGUUCAGGUAGACGUGUAGGUUUUUUAAGGGCUUAGCUGAGUUACAAAUGUGAAACAAUUAUGGAAUAUUAGAUUGAAAUAUUAAUGUGAAAGCGUACUUAUUAGUAAAUUUUAGAGAGAAAAAAGUUGAAUUGGGUAAGUAAAAUGUGUACAAAUCGCCCGGCGCCCUCGAAUAGAAAAGUUGAGGUAAGUCGUAACAUAGUAAUGCUAGUAAAAACUGGUGUUG